UACGUAGGGUGCACGCGUUGUCCGGAAUUAUUGGGCGUAAAGAGCUCGUAGGCGGUUUGUCGCGUCUGCUGUGAAAACUCGGGGCUUAACUCCGGGCCUGCAGUGGGUACGGGCAGACUAGAGUGCGGUAGGGGAGACUGGAAUUCCUGGUGUAGCGGUGAAAUGCGCAGAUAUCGGGAAGAACACCCGUGGCGAAGGCGGCUCUCUGGGACGGUACUGACGCUGAGACGCGAAAGCGUGGGGAGCGAACAGG
This 253-nucleotide ribosomal RNA is filed under the name uncultured bacterium. RNAcentral's name for it is "partial 16S ribosomal RNA". It matches the Rfam family "Bacterial small subunit ribosomal RNA", at positions 524 to 776 of the family's 1533-position model. The record is from RNAcentral.